AAUCAACGCUGGCGGCGUGCCUAACACAUGCAAGUCGCACGAGAAAGGGACUUCGGUCCUGAGUACAGUGGCGCACGGGUGAGUAACACGUGAAUCAUCUACCUUCGAGUGGGGAAUAACUGAGAGAAAUCUUAGCUAAUACCGCAUAAUACCUACGGGUCAAAGCAGCAAUGCGCUUGAAGAGGAGUUCGCGGCAGAUUAGUUAGUUGGCAGGGUAAUGGCCUACCAAGACGAUGAUCUGUAUCCGGCCUGAGAGGGCGCACGGACACACUGGAACUGAAACACGGUCCAGACUCCUACGGGAGGCAGCAGUGGGGAAUUUUGCGCAAGUGGGGGAAACCCUGACGCAGCAACGCCGCGUGGAGGAUGAAAUCCCUUGGGAUGUAAACUCCUUUCGAUCGGGAAGAUAAUGACGGUACCGAGAGAAGAACGCCCCGGCUAACUUCGUGCCA
RNAcentral lists this ribosomal RNA (452 nucleotides) under uncultured bacterium. RNAcentral's name for it is "bacterial SSU rRNA". It matches the Rfam family "Bacterial small subunit ribosomal RNA", at positions 32 to 510 of the family's 1533-position model. The record is from RNAcentral.